This 497-nucleotide ribosomal RNA is filed under the name uncultured bacterium. Its description in RNAcentral is "partial 16S ribosomal RNA". It matches the Rfam family "Bacterial small subunit ribosomal RNA", at positions 28 to 507 of the family's 1533-position model. The record is from RNAcentral.
GAUGAACGCUGGCGGCGUGCCUAAUACAUGCCAGUCGAGCGAACAGACGAGGAGCUUGCUCCUCUGACGUUAGCGGCGGACGGGUGAGUAACACGUGGAUAACCUACCUAUAAGACUGGGAUAACUUCGGGAAACCGGAGCUAAUACCGGAUAAUAUAUUGAACCGCAUGGUUCAAUAGUGAAAGACGGUUUUGCUGUCACUUAUAGAUGGAUCCGCGCCGCAUUAGCUAGUUGGUAAGGUAACGGCUUACCAAGGCAACGAUGCGUAGCCGACCUGGGAGGGUGAUCGGCCACACGGGAACUGAGACACGGUCCAGACUCCUACGGGAGGCAGCAGUAGGGAAUCUUCCGCAAUGGGCGAAAGCUUGACGGAGCAACGCCGCGUGAGUGAUGAAGGUCUUCGGAUCGUAAAACUCUGUUAUUAGGGAAGAACAAAUGUGUAAGUAACUAUGCACGUCUUGACGGUACCUAAUCAGAAAGCCACGGCUAACUACGUG